UGGAGCGUGUGGUUUAAUUCGAUGCUACACGAAGAACCUUACCAGGGUUUGACAUGUAGGUGGUAGUGGAGCGAAAGCGGAACGACUCUUCGGAGAGCCUGCACAGGUGCUGCAUGGCUGUCGUCAGCUCGUGUCGUGAGAUGUUCGGUUAAGUCCGCUAACGAGCGCAACCCCUGCUGUGUGUUACAAGUGUCGCACGGGACUGCCGGUCUUAAGCCGGAGGAAGGUGGGGAUGACGUCAAGUCAGCAUGGCCUUUAUAUCUUGGGC
This 268-nucleotide ribosomal RNA is filed under the name uncultured bacterium. RNAcentral's name for it is "partial 16S ribosomal RNA". It matches the Rfam family "Bacterial small subunit ribosomal RNA", at positions 933 to 1214 of the family's 1533-position model. The record is from RNAcentral.